CUACGGGCGGCUGCAGUGAGGAAUAUUGCACAAUGGGGGGAACCCUGAUGCAGCAACGCCGCGUGGAGGAUGAUGCAUUUCGGUGUGUAAACUCCUCUUAUAUGUCAAGAAAAUGACGGUAGCAUAUGAAUAAGCACCGGCUAACUCCGUGCCAGCAGCCGCGGUAAUACGGAGGGUGCAAGCGUUACUCGGAAUCACUGGGCGUAAAGGACGCGUAGGCGGGUUGGAAAGUCAGGUGUGAAAUCCUACAGCUUAACUGUAGAACUGCACUUGAAACUUCUAAUCUAGAGUAUGGGAGGGGGAGAUGGAAUUAGUGGUGUAGGGGUAAAAUCCGUAGAUAUCACUAGGAAUACCUAAAGCGAAGGCGAUCUCCUGGAACAUUACUGACGCUAAGGCGUGAAAGCGUGGGGAGCAAACAGGAUUAGAUACCCCCGUAGUC
RNAcentral lists this ribosomal RNA (439 nucleotides) under uncultured bacterium. RNAcentral's name for it is "partial 16S ribosomal RNA". It matches the Rfam family "Bacterial small subunit ribosomal RNA", at positions 339 to 795 of the family's 1533-position model. The record is from RNAcentral.